GAUGAACGCUGGCGGCGUGCUUAACACAUGCAAGUCGAACGAUGAAGCCCAGCUUGCUGGGUGGAUUAGUGGCGAACGGGUGAGUAACACGUGAGUAACCUGCCCUUAACUCUGGGAUAAGCCUGGGAAACUGGGUCUAAUACCGGAUAGGAGCGUCCACCGCAUGGUGGGUGUUGGAAAGAUUUAUCGGUUUUGGAUGGACUCGCGGCCUAUCAGCUUGUCGGUGAGGUAAUGGCUCACCAAGGCGACGACGGGUAGCCGGCCUGAGAGGGUGACCGGCCACACUGGGACUGAGACACGGCCCAGACUCCUACGGGAGGCAGCAGUGGGGAAUAUUGCACAAUGGGCGCAAGCCUGAUGCAGCGACGCCGCGUGAGGGAUGACGGCCUUCGGGUUGUAAACCUCUUUCAGUAGGGAAGAAGCGAAAGUGACGGUACCUGCAGAAGAAGCACCGGCUAACUACGUG
RNAcentral lists this ribosomal RNA (466 nucleotides) under uncultured bacterium. Its description in RNAcentral is "partial 16S ribosomal RNA". It matches the Rfam family "Bacterial small subunit ribosomal RNA", at positions 28 to 507 of the family's 1533-position model. The record is from RNAcentral.